RNAcentral lists this unclassified non-coding RNA (402 nucleotides) under soil metagenome. RNAcentral describes it as "partial contains 5.8S ribosomal RNA, internal transcribed spacer 2, and large subunit ribosomal RNA". The stretch from base 1 to 122 matches the Rfam family "5.8S ribosomal RNA", at positions 35 to 154 of the family's 154-position model. The record is from RNAcentral.
GAUGAAGAACGCAGCGAAAUGCGAUACUUGGUGUGAAUUGCAGAAUCCCGUGAACCAUCGAGUUUUUGAACGCAAGUUGCGCCCAAAGCCACUAGGCUGAGGGCACGUCUGCCUGGGCGUCACGCACAGCGUCGCGCUCAACACAAGCAAUGUUUUCGUGUUGAUGAGCGGAAGUUGGCCACCCGAGCUAUCUCAGCUCGGUAGGCCUAAAUGAUGGCCUCGAGCGAUGGGCAUCACGAUCUAUGGUGGUUUAGAACCCCUGUCGUCGUAGACCGGCGUCGUGUUUGCCUCGUUGAAUGCUCGAGCUGUACAAACCCUUGUGUGUUGCAUCUAACACUCACCUUGCGACCCCAGGUCAGGCGGGACUACCCGCUGAGUUUAAGCAUAUCAAUAAGCGGAGGA